RNAcentral lists this long non-coding RNA (450 nucleotides) under Phasianus colchicus (ring-necked pheasant). RNAcentral describes it as "lncRNA (ENSPCLG00000018614.1)". The record is from RNAcentral. Lineage: Eukaryota; Metazoa; Chordata; Aves; Galliformes; Phasianidae.
UCAGUCAACACCAGUAAUGGGAAUGUACUCCAGUUGGAAGCAAGAACAAAUUUCCAAGAACUUGGAAGGACAGAAUUUUUCUACAUUUGAAAGACUGCUGAUGUGAUCCAUUUGCAAGAAAGGUAUGGAGUACAUGGGUGGCUGGAUUCUCAUCUGAAAGCUUCAGUCCAUGUAACUCUUCCUUACUCUUCAGUGAAAUUAGACCCCAUUUCCACACCUUGUGGAACCCAAGGAACCUGCGGGAUGCUGGGAGAGCCUUUGACCAGGAAGAUUUCCCCAUCUCUCCCCAAUGUCUUCCAGGCAAACGAGAAAGGAGCUUAAUUCAUUUGAAGAAGCACCAAGUGUUUAAGGGAAAGCUGAAUGUUUUUCCAUCUUCUCUUGGAAGACUGAAAUUCCCAACUCUCCUACCCACUGAAUGAGGCACACUGCUCUACCAUGGCCCUGCAGAGG